RNAcentral lists this transfer RNA (85 nucleotides) under Blastocystis sp. ATCC 50177/Nand II. RNAcentral describes it as "Blastocystis sp. ATCC 50177 tRNA". It matches the Rfam family "tRNA". From Rfam's summary of the family: Transfer RNA (tRNA) molecules are approximately 80 nucleotides in length. Their secondary structure includes four short double-helical elements and three loops (D, anti-codon, and T loops). The record is from Rfam by way of RNAcentral. Lineage: Eukaryota; Bigyra; Opalinata; Blastocystidae.
GCAAAUAUGACCGAGUGGUCUAAGGUGCUACGUUCAGGUCGUAGUGUGUUCGCACGCGUGGUGGGUUCAAAUCCCACUGUUUGCA